CCCACAUUACAUCCCUAAUGGUACCCGAAGUUCCAAAUUCGAAUUCUAAUUGGUUCACAUUUCUAGCUAAGUUAUUUUUAAAUGAAAUAAACGAAGCGGAUAGCAUGUCAUCUAUCUUUCAAAGAAAAAAAAAAAAAAAUUAUAUAAAAUUUAGAUUGACAAGAUGUAAGGUUCAUAUUUAUUUUUAGAUGUACAAAUAGUAUUAUUGUAUCACUUUUUAUUUUUUUAAUACUAAAAAUCAGAAUUAUCUAAACUCUUGCACA
RNAcentral lists this long non-coding RNA (263 nucleotides) under Ananas comosus (pineapple). RNAcentral describes it as "long non-coding RNA (ACOM_LNC034760)". Lineage: Eukaryota; Viridiplantae; Streptophyta; Magnoliopsida; Poales; Bromeliaceae. The record is from RNAcentral.